This 132-nucleotide small nucleolar RNA is filed under the name Carlito syrichta (Philippine tarsier). Its description in RNAcentral is "Small nucleolar RNA SNORA51 (ENSTSYG00000022767.2)". It matches the Rfam family "Small nucleolar RNA SNORA51". Rfam says of the family: ACA51 is a member of the H/ACA class of snoRNA that guide the sites of modification of uridines to pseudouridines. Lineage: Eukaryota; Metazoa; Chordata; Mammalia; Primates; Tarsiidae. The record is from Rfam by way of RNAcentral.
GACCUACUGGUGCUUACCACAGGCUGUGUUCUUACACUGACUGUAUAGAAAAAGGAGGUAGCGUAAAUCUACCCCAUAUGUACGUAAGUCCAGGCUCUGUGCCUGGUCUAUAUUGUGAAUGGAGGUACACUG